UGAGGAACAUGACCUUCGGCGGGGGAGUAGCCGGCCUAACGGCCGGGUAAUACCGCGUACGACCUUUCGGGACAUCCCCGGAUGGUGAAAGCAGCAAUGCGCCGAUGGAGUGCCUCGCGGCCUAUCAGCUAGUUGGUGAGGUAACGGCUCACCAAGGCAACGACGGGUAGCUGGU
RNAcentral lists this ribosomal RNA (175 nucleotides) under uncultured bacterium. RNAcentral's name for it is "partial 16S ribosomal RNA". It matches the Rfam family "Bacterial small subunit ribosomal RNA", at positions 118 to 291 of the family's 1533-position model. The record is from RNAcentral.